AGUGAACGCUGGCGGUAGACCUAACACAUGCAAGUCGAACGGCAGCACAGUAAGAGCUUGCUCUUACGGGUGGCGAGUGGCGGACGGGUGAGGAAUACAUCGGAAUCUACUUUUUCGUGGGGGAUAACGUAGGGAAACUUACGCUAAUACCGCAUACGACCUACGGGUGAAAGCAGGGGAUCUUCGGACCUUGCGCGAUUGAAUGAGCCGAUGUCGGAUUAGCCAGUUGGCGGGGUAAAGGCCCACCAAGGCGACGAUCCGUAGCUGGUCUGAGAGGAUGAUCAGCCACACUGGAACUGAGACACGGUCCAGACUCCUACGGGAGGCAGCAGUGGGGAAUAUUGGACAAUGGGCGCAAGCCUGAUCCAGCCAUACCGCGUGGGUGAAGAAGGCCUUCGGGUUGUAAAGCCCUUUUGUUGGGAAAGAAAAGCAGCAGGUUAAUACCCCGCUGUUCUGACGGUACCCAAAGAAUAAGCACCGGCUAACUUCGUG
This 492-nucleotide ribosomal RNA is filed under the name uncultured bacterium. RNAcentral describes it as "partial 16S ribosomal RNA". It matches the Rfam family "Bacterial small subunit ribosomal RNA", at positions 29 to 507 of the family's 1533-position model. The record is from RNAcentral.